Anolis carolinensis (green anole) is the source of this 3568-nucleotide long non-coding RNA. RefSeq lists it as uncharacterized. The record is from RefSeq and is a predicted model, not a curated record. NCBI's taxonomy places the organism in Eukaryota, Metazoa, Chordata, Lepidosauria, Squamata, Anolidae. The transcript is spliced from 4 exons.
CCAGUUACACUACUUUGUAAAGGCAUUACAAUUCAAAGUUGUGUGUGCUGAUAUGUUCAUUGGUCAACAACAUUUCUACCAUUACAUUUGCCUGCCUGUGCAGCAUCUGGUUUUUAAAUAAAAACAUUACAUUACAUCCAAUCUGAUAGGUAAUUUUGUGUGUCACCAUUGUUCCAUAUGCCCAAAAUUCACACCAGCAAAGUUUUUAAAGAAUCAUCACACUAAAUUUUAAUGUAAAAUUAAUCAUUUUGCUACUUACUCCACUGAAGGGGUCAUUUAUGCCAUUACAUGUCCCUGUUCACUAAUGUACAUAGGCCAAACCAGCAGGAAAGUCAAACUCCACAUUAUAGAACAUAAAAGCAAGAUCGGGAAACAUUUUAUUUAUUUGAUUUUCUAUAAGCAUUUUGAAGAUUUAAACCACAGUCCUGAAUCACUCUGGGUCCAGAUUUUAGCAGUCAUUACAUCUUCCAAGGGCAUUGAUUUCCAGAUGAAGCUCCUACAAUGUGAAUCUUUUUGGAUUUUCACACUCCAAACAGAACAUCCUAAAGGGUUGAACAAUAAUAACUUUUAUGAUUUUUUUUUGUAAAAAUCGGAGUUAUUCCUUUAAAUGUGAUUCAUGAAUAACAGCAGCUACAUUACAUUGCAAUCACCUGCCCGAUGUGCUUGCUAUAUGAACAGUGGGAUUAGUUACUCGGCUUCCUACUUACAUUGGAAUCAAACUGGGAGCAGAGUAUGAAUAUUAAGAAGAACUUUCUGCGCAUAAGGCAAGUGUCUUGAGACCUCCAUCCCAGACAAUCAGGGGCUGAAGGGUGAAGAUGCAUCUGGGAAACCUUGUGCCAGCGAGGCAACACCAUCUUGGUUAAAGAAGUACAAAGAGAAAAGGAAUGGCAAAGAAAGGGGAUGAAGAAAGUAAGAAGGAGAGCUUUACUUCAAAUAAUGAUAAGGAAGGGGUGGAAAGCAGCCUUGGCAUUUCAUCUCGGGAAGAAAGAGACAAAGGAUUGCAUGCCAGUUUUCUGAACUUGCCAAUGUUCAGAAAGGAAUUCAGGCCUGAUUUGCCCUGGAGCCCAUUCAUUUGUCAUGUUAGCAGCCUAUGAUAUUCAUAGAACUCUCAUCCAGCACCACAUUUCAAAAGCAUUGAUUUUUCCUCCUGUCAGCUUUUUUUUCACUGCCCAGCUUUCACUCCAUAUAUAGAAACAGGCAAUACUGUUUGCCUGGGUGAUUCUGAUUUUGGGAUCCAGUGAUGUAUCUUUACACUUGAGGGUCUAAUUUAGUGCUUUCAUAGCUGCCCUUCCAGCUAUGAUUUCUUGACUUGAGUUUCCAUUUCAAUUCAUGACUGGUCUUUUAACUAUUUGAUGUCUUCUUAUUCUAUUAAAUUCAUGUAAAUCACCUGUGACCAUUACUAUUUUUUCUUAAUGAUUAGUUGUGGACAUACAUUUCCAUUUUCUUCCUUAAUUUUCAAAAACGGUUGUUCUAAGUCUUUGCUAUUUUCUUUUUUUUAAAUUCAAAAUGUAUUUUAUAAACACAUAUUUAUGUUUCUCAGCAAACAAAAUGAUGACUCAAGAAAAAUUCUUCCAAGGUUUUCAUUGAAACCACAAAUGUUAAAGCUAUUUAUUUUGUUUAUUUUUAUUUAUUUUGUUUAUUUUGUUUAACUUUGUUAAAGUUAUUUAUCUUUGUUCAGCACCUUUUGUUUCUUUCAACAUUUCUUGCCAAUUGCUCUCCAGGUAAGAAAAGCAUCUGCCAGGUGUCUCAUUGAGUUGGCCAAUUCUGGGUUAGUAUGCAUCACCACCAUUUCAUAAGCCAUCUAUGUAGCCUGCACUGAUAGUUUUUCCAUAUUUUCCAAUAGCUUUUCUAAAUCCCUAUUUUCAGAUCCUCAAGCUGUUUUACUAUGUUGUCAUAAUAUAAGUCUUUGCUAUUUGGCACUACCUUUCUGUGGUUGUGGGACUGAGUGCUCCAGUAAGAAGCUAUGCUACUGACAGAACUGCUGCUGGCAGGCUCUCCCAAGUCAGACAAGCCUUUGCAGAGUAUACCAAACAGGUACGAGGCAGCAGGAGUAGUGAGGUCUGUUUGUAUGUGUGACACUGGCAGAGGAUCUGUCAAAGAUAACACAGUGGUGCCUUUGCUGACUCCGAAGGAGCCAGUUCUGCACAAAAGAAGGCAAUAGUAAAUAAUUCCUGAAAAUUUUUUAUUUCUAAAAUACUAUCACACUAGCAUAAUGCACCAACAGGAUUAUGGUCUAAAUACCUGUACGUUCUGUUGAAAGGCUCCUACUACUGGAAGCCAAACUUUAUUGGGGUCAUUCCAAUAAUUUAAAAUCGGGGUAAAGACUAAAAUAAAAAGGGCCUGGGAAACAACUGAAUGGAGACAGAGGAAACCAGACUUGGUUUAGGUGUAAGAAAAUAAUGGGACUUCUUUGAAGGGUUUCAAGUCCCACACUCCUAGUUUAUAAAUAUGGGCAUUUUGUAAAGAUUUCAUAAAAUGUGAAAUGUUGAGGGGCACUGCUGACCAUCCAACACAGCAACAACAAACAUAAGCUUGUCCAAAGACCUAAAUAAUUCAGCAGUUAAAGAUAAACAAUGUAAAUAAAACGAUUAAGACACAAGAAGGCGUGCCAAACAAGAAUGCGAACACUGCUAAUAAGUAGUAAAGGUAAAGGUUUUCCUCUGACGUUAAGUCCAGUCAUGUCUGACUCUGGGGGUUGGUGCUCAUCUCCAUUUCUAAGCCAAAGGGCCGGCGUUGUCCGUAGACACCUCCAAGGUCAUGUGGCCGGCAUGACUGCAUGGAGCGCCGUUACCUUCCUGCCGGAAUGGUACUUAUUGAUGUACUCACAUUGGCAUGUUUUCGAACUGCUAGGUUGGCAGAAGCUGGAGCAACAGCGGGCGCUCACUCCGUUCCCGGGAUUUGAACCUGGGACCUUUCGGUCUGCAAGUUCAGCAGCUCAGUGCUUUAACACACUUCGCCACCGGGGCUCCUUGCUAAUAAAUAUAAAGGCUAAUUUCAACAUAGCAGCCAUCAAGCAAGAACACUAGGCAGAGCCUCAGCAAUUCCCUCAAAACUGGAGCAGAAACAAAUUGUUCUACAAAUAUUGACCCUCGAUGUAUAGGGUGAUGAAGGUAACAGAUCAGUCAAUUUUGGGCUUUUGCCUUUCCUUGCAAAAGUACUAAAAUACUCCUGGAAGAAGCAGAAAGCCCAGUGAUUAAACAUAUGUAGGCUCAGCAAAGUUAAUAAAAGGGGAAGAUGGAGCACAAGCAUAGACACAAUAUCUUUACAGAUUGACUUAAAAAACAAAAAUCUAGUGAAAGAUCUCCAACAGACUGGUCACUUGCUCUUGAACCAAUGGAUUCUAAACUUUCAGCUCUCACAAGAAGUAUAUAUGGCAUGGAGGAAACUGCAGUCACAGCUUUACAGGAAGGCUCAUCAAAUAUGGUAGAAUUCAUAUGCUAGAACAGUGUGACUUUUAGAAAUAAAAAACUUUCAGGACAAUAAAUAAAUAAAUAUGCUAGAACAGUGUGGUCCAACCCGCAGCCCAUGGUUACAAAAAAAAUUCAUUUUUGUUGGCCCUUGCCCUGCU